Pseudonaja textilis is the source of this 208-nucleotide non-coding RNA. The record is from RefSeq and is a predicted model, not a curated record. Lineage: Eukaryota; Metazoa; Chordata; Lepidosauria; Squamata; Elapidae.
UAGAGCACCACCUAAUGGUUAAAGAGUUUCCUCUUUUAUAUUUUUAUGGAAAAUUACUGGUCAUACAAAUAUUUGAAAGAGAGAAGAAAUGGAAUAAAAGAUUGUUAAUACAACAAAAACCCUGGAAGUAAAAUAUAAAGGAAUACAAUAUUUUGGGACUGCUGGAGGUUGACUGUGACAAGAAAACAGAAGAAAGAGAAAGUGAGAG